RNAcentral lists this transfer RNA (65 nucleotides) under Phascolosoma scolops. RNAcentral describes it as "tRNA-Ser". Lineage: Eukaryota; Metazoa; Annelida; Sipuncula; Phascolosomatiformes; Phascolosomatidae. The record is from RNAcentral.
GGUGUAGCUUUGGAAAAAGUGAUUUUGAACAUCACUAUAAAGAAGUUCAACUCUUCUAUACACCU